AAAGCGUGCGUAGGCGGCUUUUUAAGUCGGAUGUGAAAUCCCCGAGCUUAACUUGGGAAUUGCAUUCGAUACUGGGAAGCUAGAGUAUGGGAGAGGAUGGUAGAAUUCCAGGUGUAGCGGUGAAAUGCGUAGAGAUCUGGAGGAAUACCGAUGGCGAAGGCAGCCAUCUGGCCUAAUACUGACGCUGAGGUACGAAAGCAUGGGGAGCAAACAGGAUUAGAUACCCUGGUAGUCCAUGCCGUAAACGAUGUCUACUAGCCGUUGGGGCCUUUGAGGCUUUAGUGGCGCAGCUAACGCGAUAAGUAGACCGCCUGGGGAGUACGGUCGCAAGACUAAAACUCAAAUGAAUUGACGGGGGCCCGCACAAGCGGUGGAGCAUGUGGUUUAAUUCGAUGCAACGCGAAGAACCUUACCUGGUCUUGACAUAGUAAGAACUUUCCAGAGAUGGAUUGGUGCCUUCGGGAACUUACAUACAGGUGCUGCAUGGCUGUCGUCAGCUCGUGUCGUGAGAUGUUGGGUUAAGUCCCGCAACGAGCGCAACCCUUUUCCUUAUUUGCCAGCACUUCGGGUGGGAACUUUAAGGAUACUGCCAGUGACAAACUGGAGGAAGGCGGGGACGACGUCAAGUCAUCAUGGCCCUUACGACCAGGGCUACACACGUGCUACAAUGGUCGGUACAAAGGGUUGCUACCUAGCGAUAGGAUGCUAAUCUCAAAAAGCCGAUCGUAGUCCGGAUUGGAGUCUGCAACUCGACUCCAUGAAGU
RNAcentral lists this ribosomal RNA (764 nucleotides) under uncultured bacterium. RNAcentral describes it as "bacterial SSU rRNA". It matches the Rfam family "Bacterial small subunit ribosomal RNA", at positions 562 to 1326 of the family's 1533-position model. The record is from RNAcentral.